AGCCUGACGCAGCGACGCCGCGUGAGGGAUGACGGCCUUCGGGUUGUAAACCUCUUUCAGUAGGGACGAAGCGAAAGUGACGGUACCUACAGAAGAAGCACCGGCCAACUACGUGCCAGCAGCCGCGGUAAUACGUAGGGUGCAAGCGUUGUCCGGAAUUAUUGGGCGUAAAGAGCUCGUAGGCGGUCUGUCACGUCGGCUGUGAAAACCCGAGGCUCAACCUCGGGCCUGCAGUCGAUACGGGCAAACUAGAGUACUGCAGGGGAGACUGGAAUUCCUGGUGUAGCGGUGAAAUGCGCAGAUAUCAGGAGGAACACCGGUGGCGAAGGCGGGUCUCUGGGCAGUAACUGACGCUGAGGAGCGAAAGCGUGGGGAGCGAACAGGAUUAGAUACCCUGGUAGUCCACGCCGUAAACGUUGGGCGCUAGGUGUGGGGGCCAUUCCACGGUCUCCGUGCCGCAGCUAACGCAUUAAGCGCCCCGCCUGGGGAGUACGGCCGCAAGGCUAAAACUCAAAGGA
This 518-nucleotide ribosomal RNA is filed under the name Modestobacter versicolor. RNAcentral describes it as "bacterial SSU rRNA". It matches the Rfam family "Bacterial small subunit ribosomal RNA", at positions 380 to 908 of the family's 1533-position model. The record is from RNAcentral. Lineage: Bacteria; Bacillati; Actinomycetota; Actinomycetes; Geodermatophilales; Geodermatophilaceae.